Molecule: ribosomal RNA, 482 nt
Filed under: uncultured bacterium
Lineage: Bacteria
Description: SSU rRNA
Rfam family: Bacterial small subunit ribosomal RNA
Source: RNAcentral
AGGAUGAACGCUGGCGGCGUGCCUAACACAUGCAAGUCGAACGUCCUGUCUCGCAAGAGGCAGGGAGUGGCGGACGGGUGAGUACCACGUGGGUUAUCUACCGUGAGGUGAGGAAUACCGGCGAGAAAUCGCCGACAAGACCGCAUAGCCUCGGUGCAAGCCGAGGAAAGCUUUCUCGAGAGAGGGAGCGCCACACGAGGAGCCUGCGCCCGAUUAGCUAGCUGGUGGAGUAACGGUUCACCAGGGCGACGAUCGGUAGCUGGUCUGAGAGGACGAUCAGCCACACUGGGAUUGAGAACGGCCCAGACUCCUACGGGGGGCAGCAGUGAGGAAUUUUCGUCAAUGGGGGCAACCCUGAACGAGCAACGCCGCGUGCAGGAAGAAGGUUUUCGGAUCGUAAACUGUCUUUUCUCGGGGAAGAGGAACGGACGGUACCCGAGGAAUCACGCCCGGCUAACGUACGCGCCAGCACGCCGCGGUAA